Molecule: long non-coding RNA, 1035 nt
Filed under: Bos taurus (domestic cattle)
Lineage: Eukaryota; Metazoa; Chordata; Mammalia; Artiodactyla; Bovidae
Description: long non-coding RNA NONBTAT012771
Source: RNAcentral
UUUUUCCCUUCUCAAAAGCUUCAGAUACCUGACCUGUUCAAUGCUUUUUUAGCCUUCAUUUACUCUUGGCCUCAUUUAUUAUCUUCCUAACCACAGCCCUCACAUGCUCUAAAAGAAAAACUGGAAAGAAGAGUUCCAAAAAAACCACAGGCAUCCCAUGGUGAACUCAUCACCUGCACCAGGUAUGUAGGUUACGUCAAAGGCUACAUCACAAGCCCAGGAAUACCAGGAACAUGAACACAUGUUCAAGCAUCAAGAUAACUAAUCAAAACUGAAUAGGACAUUGAGUCAUAAGGCUUUUACUUUCUGAAGUACAUAAUGAUGCCAAAAUAUUUCAAGUAGAAUGUGACACUGUGUAAGUACGUUCUCUGGGCUUGAGUUCUUAAAAGGGGAUGAGGUUGAACCUUGCCCAUCAUAAACGCAGAGCAGAGGGGACCGGAUAAAUGCUGGGUGCCGUCACAGGAACCCCGUCCUCUCCUUCAGAUCGUUUCCAGUCGAGAAGUCAGAAUUUUCUCUAAGCAAAGGUACCUUUUUACAAACUAUUUUGCAUUUUCAUAAUGAUCUCAUAUAGGUAAUAUAGGUUCAAGAGACAAAUGUUUAAGAGAGGGUUUGAUGAAGCACCAAGCAAAUGCCAUUUAGUAUCAAAAGGCAUAAUGUCUUAUCAAUUUAUAAUUUUGUUUAUGAUGCAUAUCCACAGUUAUAUUGGACUCUGAGCAAGUCCCAAAGUGCCAUUUUGAGGAACAUGAUGGAAAAAUAACAUGUAUGCGUAGGAUUCACUAAGGGGGCUGGCUGCUGACAAAAAGGAGAGCUGCAGACUCUCCCACGCUGGGCCUUCACCAGGUCACCCAGAUAACGCGCACGCGAGCCUCAGCUGCACAAAGCCAGGAGCGGCCAGGAUCAGCCAUCACCAUUCCCCGGAUGCUCUGCAUAGCUCCUGAGUCAAGCAGUAAUCAAGGUCAGUUCUGUCUAAAGCGCAGAGGACAGCCCUCAGAUGGCACACCUUUGGCAUAAAAGCAAUGAGCGUGUCAUUCCCAC